This 99-nucleotide ribosomal RNA is filed under the name uncultured bacterium. Its description in RNAcentral is "partial 16S ribosomal RNA". The record is from RNAcentral.
UACACACCGCCCGUCACACCAUGGGAUUGGUUUACCUUAAGACGGUGUGCUAACCAGCAAUGGAGGCAGCCGGCCACGGUAAGGUCAGCGACUGGGGUG